GCUGACACUGACGUGAGUGCGAAGCGUGGUAGCAACAGAUAGAUACCUGUAGUCACGCUGUAACGUGAGAACUAGUCGUGGGCUAUGAAGCUUAGUGACGCAGCUAACGCGAUAAGUCUCCGCCUGGGAGUACGGCCGCAAGGUUAAACUCAAAUGAAUUGACGGGGCCCGCACAAGCGGUGGAGCAUGUGGUUUAAUUCGACGCAACGCGAAGAACUUACCUGGUCUUGACAUCCUGCGAACUUGGUAGAGAUACCUCGGUGCCUUCGGGAGCGCAGUGACAGGUGCUGCAUGGCCGUCGUCAGCUCGUGUCGUGAGAUGUUGGGUUAAGUCCCGUAACGAGCGCAACCCUUGUCCUUAGUUGCCAGCGGUCCGGCCGGGAACUCUAGGGAGACUGCCGGUGACAAACCGGAGGAAGGUGGGGAUGACGUCAGGUCAUCAUGGCCCUUACGGCCAGGGCUACACACGUGCUACAAUGGGGCGUACAGAGGGCAGCAAGCGCGCGAGUGCAAGCGAAUCCCUUAAAGCGUCUCGUAGUCCGGAUCGGAGUCUGCAACUCGACUCCGUGAAGUCGGAAUCGCUAGUAAUCGCGAAUCAGAAUGUCGCGGUGAAUACGUUCCCGGGCCUUGUACACACCGCCCGUCACACCAUGGGAGUGGACUGCACCAGAAGCGGUUAGUCUAACCUUCGGGAGGACGAUCGCCACGGUGUGGUUCACGACUGGGGUGAAGUCGUAACAAGGUAGCCGUAGGGGAACCUGCGGCUGGAUCACCUCCUU
Molecule: ribosomal RNA, 778 nt
Filed under: uncultured Pseudomonas sp.
Lineage: Bacteria; Pseudomonadati; Pseudomonadota; Gammaproteobacteria; Pseudomonadales; Pseudomonadaceae
Description: bacterial SSU rRNA
Rfam family: Bacterial small subunit ribosomal RNA
Source: RNAcentral